Molecule: transfer RNA, 72 nt
Filed under: Bos taurus (domestic cattle)
Lineage: Eukaryota; Metazoa; Chordata; Mammalia; Artiodactyla; Bovidae
Also listed under: 2 other names
Rfam family: tRNA
About the family: Transfer RNA (tRNA) molecules are approximately 80 nucleotides in length. Their secondary structure includes four short double-helical elements and three loops (D, anti-codon, and T loops). Further hydrogen bonds mediate the characteristic L-shaped molecular structure. tRNAs have two regions of fundamental functional importance: the anti-codon, which is responsible for specific mRNA codon recognition, and the 3' end, to which the tRNAs corresponding amino acid is attached (by aminoacyl-tRNA synthetases). tRNAs cope with the degeneracy of the genetic code in two manners: having more than one tRNA (with a specific anti-codon) for a particular amino acid; and 'wobble' base-pairing, i.e. permitting non-standard base-pairing at the 3rd anti-codon position.
Source: Rfam by way of RNAcentral
UCCUUGAUGGCUCAGACAGUAAAGAAUCUGCCUGCAAUGCAGGAGACUCAGGUUCGAUCCCUGGGUUGGGAA